GACGAACGCUGGCGGCGUGCCUCAUACAUGCAAGUGGAGCGACGAACCGGGGCUUGCCCCGGGGCAAAGCCGCGAACGGGUGAGUAACACGUGGGUCACCUGCCCCGAUGAUUGGACAACCCGAGGAAACUCGGGCUAAUACCGAAUGUGCUCCUGGCCGUGAUGGCCAGGUGGAAAGGAAGCUUCGGCCUCCGCAUCGGGAUGGGCCCGCGGCCCAUUAGCUAGUUGGUGGGGUAAUGGCCCACCAAGGCGACGAUGGGUAGCUGGUCUGUGAGGACGAUCAGCCACACUGGGACUGAGACACGGCCCAGACUCCUACGGGAGGCAGCAGUAGGGAAUCUUGCGCAAUGCGCGAAAGCGUGACGCAGCAACGCCGCGUGGGGGAAGAAGGCCUUCGGGUUGUAAACCCCUUUCAGUUGGGACGAAGCUCCGUCGGUGAAUAGCCGACUGGAGUGACGGUACCUUCACAAGAAGCACCGGCUAACUACGUGCCAGCCGCCGCCGUAACAC
RNAcentral lists this ribosomal RNA (510 nucleotides) under uncultured bacterium. Its description in RNAcentral is "bacterial SSU rRNA". It matches the Rfam family "Bacterial small subunit ribosomal RNA", at positions 28 to 526 of the family's 1533-position model. The record is from RNAcentral.